GGGUUCCCAUUCUCUUUGCAUCUAUCUAAGAAGGAAGAAGCCUGUUUGCUUAUAAACCAAGGAACAGGAGGAAAUCUUUCAAGUGAUACUUGCCUAUAUAUAUACUUGUCUUCAGUUGCUUGGAAAAUAUCCUUACAGCUUAACUUGGCACUGAAUAAAUCAAUUGAUGAGGAAGAGGCAACAAGAGCUAGAAUUUCCGUGACCAACUCGUUUGGAAGUGCCAGAAUGUUGGGAACUUUAUGGUUCUUGUCUCUGCUUCUGCUCUUUUUCGUUUUUGAACAACCCUGAAGUUUACCUUUGCUUUCUUU
This 308-nucleotide unclassified non-coding RNA is filed under the name Hevea brasiliensis (rubber tree). The record is from RNAcentral. Lineage: Eukaryota; Viridiplantae; Streptophyta; Magnoliopsida; Malpighiales; Euphorbiaceae.